UGGUUCUCCCCGAAAGCUAUUUAGGUAGCGCCUCGUGAAUUCAUCUCCGGGGGUAGAGCACUGUUUCGGCAAGGGGGUCAUCCCGACUUACCAACCCGAUGCAAACUGCGAAUACCGGAGAAUGUUAUCACGGGAGACACACGGCGGGUGCUAACGUCCGUCGUGAAGAGGGAAACAACCCAGACCGCCAGCUAAGGUCCCAAAGUCAUGGUUAAGUGGGAAACGAUGUGGGAAGGCCCAGACAGCCAGGAUGUUGGCUUAGAAGCAGCCAUCAUUUAAAGAAAGCGUAAUAGCUCACUGGUCGAGUCGGCCUGCGCGGAAGAUGUAACGGGGCUAAACCAUGCACCGAAGCUGCGGCAGCGACACUGUGUGUUGUUGGGUAGGGGAGCGUUCUGUAAGCCUGUGAAGGUGUGCUGUGAGGCAUGCUGGAGGUAUCAGAAGUGCGAAUGCUGACAUAAGUAACGAUAAAGCGGGUGAAAAGCCCGCUCGCCGGAAGACCAAGGGUUCCUGUCCAACGUUAAUCGGGGCAGGGUGAGUCGACCCCUAAGGCGAGGCCGAAAGGCGUAGUCGAUGGGAAACAGGUUAAUAUUCCUGUACUUGGUGUUACUGCGAAGGGGGGACGGAGAAGGCUAUGUUGGCCGGGCGACGGUUGUCCCGGUUUAAGCGUGUAGGCUGGUUUUCCAGGCAAAUCCGGAAAAUCAAGGCUGAGGCGUGAUGACGAGGCACUACGGUGCUGAAGCAACAAAUGCCCUGCUUCCAGGAAAAGCCUCUAAGCAUCAGGUAACAUCAAAUCGUACCCCAAACCGACACAGGUGGUCAGGUAGAGAAUACCAAGGCGCUUGAGAGAACUCGGGUGAAGGAACUAGGCAAAAUGGUGCCGUAACUUCGGGAGAAGGCACGCUGAUAUGUAGGUGAAGUCCCUCGCGGAUGGAGCUGAAAUCAGUCGAAGAUACCAGCUGGCUGCAACUGUUUAUUAAAAACACAGCACUGUGCAAACACGAAAGUGGACGUAUACGGUGUGACGCCUGCCCGGUGCCGGAAGGUUAAUUGAUGGGGUCAGCGCAAGCGAAGCUCUUGAUCGAAGCCCCGGUAAACGGCGGCCGUAACUAUAACGGUCCUAAGGUAGCGAAAUUCCUUGUCGGGUAAGUUCCGACCUGCACGAAUGGCGUAAUGAUGGCCAGGCUGUCUCCACCCGAGACUCAGUGAAAUUGAACUCGCUGUGAAGAUGCAGUGUACCCGCGGCAAGACGGAAAGACCCCGUGAACCUUUACUAUAGCUUGACACUGAACAUUGAGCCUUGAUGUGUAGGAUAGGUGGGAGGCUUUGAAGUGUGGACGCCAGUCUGCAUGGAGCCGACCUUGAAAUACCACCCUUUAAUGUUUGAUGUUCUAACGUGGACCCGUGAUCCGGGUUGCGGACAGUGUCUGGUGGGUAGUUUGACUGGGGCGGUCUCCUCCUAAAGAGUAACGGAGGAGCACGAAGGUUGGCUAAUCCUGGUCGGACAUCAGGAGGUUAGUGCAAUGGCAUAAGCCAGCUUGACUGCGAGCGUGACGGCGCGAGCAGGUGCGAAAGCAGGUCAUAGUGAUCCGGUGGUUCUGAAUGGAAGGGCCAUCGCUCAACGGAUAAAAGGUACUCCGGGGAUAACAGGCUGAUACCGCCCAAGAGUUCAUAUCGACGGCGGUGUUUGGCACCUCGAUGUCGGCUCAUCACAUCCUGGGGCUGAAGUAGGUCCCAAGGGUAUGGCUGUUCGCCAUUUAAAGUGGUACGCGAGCUGGGUUUAGAACGUCGUGAGACAGUUCGGUCCCUAUCUGCCGUGGGCGCUGGAGAACUGAGGGGGGCUGCUCCUAGUACGAGAGGACCGGAGUGGACGCAUCACUGGUGUUCGGGUUGUCAUGCCAAUGGCACUGCCCGGUAGCUAAAUGCGGAAGAGAUAAGUGCUGAAAGCAUCUAAGCACGAAACUUGCCCCGAGAUGAGUUCUCCCUGACCCUUUAAGGGUCCUGAAGGAACGUUGAAGACGACGACGUUGAUAGGCCGGGUGUGUAAGCGCAGCGAUGCGUUGAGCUAACCGGUACUAAUGAACCGUGAGGCUUAACCUUACAACGCCGA
RNAcentral lists this ribosomal RNA (2107 nucleotides) under Escherichia coli. RNAcentral describes it as "partial 23S ribosomal RNA". It matches the Rfam family "Bacterial large subunit ribosomal RNA", at positions 850 to 2925 of the family's 2925-position model. The record is from RNAcentral. Lineage: Bacteria; Pseudomonadati; Pseudomonadota; Gammaproteobacteria; Enterobacterales; Enterobacteriaceae.